CUAGGGAUUGAAGGUCAAGGUGGAAGUGGCUGCCUUUCUGGCUGCCGUUUUCAAGGUCCUGCUGUCUUUCCAAGCUUUGGCUGGAGAAGACGGAAAUGUCACUAGCAGAUGGGAUGUUACCAUCUCCCAUGCACAUUUGCAUCCACAGUCAUGAGAAAUCCUCACGAUGAAUCACGUCAGGACCCUCCACUUCUCCACCAGCUUUCCACCGGUGGAGAGGAGAAGACAGCCAAGAAUCAGCAGCUUCUGGCUACCUUGAUCAGAAGGUUGAUGAAGGCAAUGAAACAAAGAUGGAAAAACACAUCACACAGGCCCUUACCAGAUGCCAGCAUCUUGAUAUUGGAUUUCCCAGCCUUCAGAACACCUGACCAUUUAAAGAAUGAAAAUGUAUUCACAUGAGGAAACCAAGGGUGUGGCCAACAAACCAUUGGAUAAGGCUCCCGUCAAGCAGGUGGACCAGGCACAGCUCCUCCUUAUCCCUGAGUAGUGGGUGUCAGUUUCCUGCUAGGCUCGGAAUUGUUCAAAGCCCAUCAGAUUCUCCUGGAAGCAGGGGGUACCUCACCCUCUUGUUGCUACAAAGUUUGCCACCCACAGCCCCUGCC
Molecule: long non-coding RNA, 602 nt
Organism: Piliocolobus tephrosceles (Ugandan red Colobus)
Lineage: Eukaryota; Metazoa; Chordata; Mammalia; Primates; Cercopithecidae
Exons: 6
Source: RefSeq, a predicted model, not a curated record